CCAACACCGCCAUCUGCAUAGAAGUCGCCGUGCCCUGUGCUUCUCAGGCCGGAGACACGCACACAUGAGUCGGUGCCAAAGCCAUCACCCACUCGCAGAAGCUUGGUCUGCCUCCCUUUCUCUGCCCACUUUCUUACUCACACCCCUGGCACUCACAUGCGUUCUCACCCCUGUCGUUAUGCUUUCCCUGUGGCAUCGGCCUGUGCACAUGCACGCACCAGCACCCACCGCCGCUGUCUCUGCCUAACCAAAGCGUGAAAUGUGCCAUAGCCAGCAGCUAUCCACCCCUCUCUAUUGUUUUUCUUCUGCGGCUGUUGAUUGCAGACACGGUUCACGUGGUCUUGCGUUUGCAUGUGCGUCAUCAGCCAACACACGCACCACAGCAGGGAGAAGAAACAAGCACUCUACAUAGAUAUAGAAAGAGGUGCACGGGCGAACGAACGCGGCUGCGCUGCUCGAGGACUUGCGUUCGGGAGUCUUCCGCCCUCUCCCUCUGAAUCUCACUGUAAUCUCCAUUCAUUGUCGUGGCGAAGCUGCCGCGCACUGCGGCGCUGCUCUUCUUGCUGCUCUUCUAUUCCUUCCUUCGCUGAUCCGUAUCCUCAGCACGGCCUCGUGGCUGUGGGCACCGUCCAGAAAUGAAUCGUGGAGCACAUGCGUGCGCGUCGCCGCCUUUGCCGGCGGCGGCGGCGUCGGGAGCAGCCUCCCCUUCGUUUCGGGGCCGCUCCCGCGGGAACGGUGCGCACUGUAGCGGCAUCGCUUCCCUGCCGUCACCUCGUCGCAACUCUUCCUGCUCUCCCCACACAGGAACGCAUGGACAUGACCCAGCGGAUGACUUGGCGUUCUCUGUCGAGCGACCGCUGGCAAUGUCACCACUCGCGCUGGCGCUACAGGCACAGUGGCGCCAACUGCAGCAAGAUAUGCUGAGCCCGUCUGCGCUGCGUCCUGAGGAUGGUGACGCACGCGCUGCCCAGAUGGAAGACGACAUGCUGCGGGUGCUUCGCUCCAUUGCCGCUCGAGCCGACAUGGCGGUGAACGACGCUGUCCACACGGUCCCGUACCUUUUAGCUCUGGGACAGGUUCCUCUGCCGUCCCUACGCACGCAGGUGGUUGCACUAGCGGCGCUGCGCGGGGUGCUCUCGUCUCUCUCCGGCGUUUACGGAGACGAGGCGGCUUCGGCGUUUGUGCACGAUACGCUACUCGGUGAGCACCAGGCGCUGCAGGCACUGAGUCUGGCCGCAUUGAUUGCUCUGGAAGGAUUUCGAGCUGCUACAGGGCUGCACGACGGCGGCUCCACGAAGGCUGACGACCAUCGCCGCACAUCCUCGGCGCUUGGCUCUUCUCUUGCUGGAGUUCCCCUCGGCCGGAGUGGUCACCGCAGCCUGCUCUCACGAGGCCAGGGCGACGCACAAGCGGAGGGCGGAGCAUUGCGAGCGUCAUGGGUGCACCUGGAGGUGCCCGAAGCAGCACCGGCGUCGCUGUCACAUGUGCGCACCGCCUCGCGCCUCAACAAUGGUGCGGACACAUCGCUUGAAAAGCCGACGGCUCUGCGCGGUCGCAUGGUGCACGCUACACUGCAGCUUCUCCGCGACACUGCAGAAAUGUGUGGACCAGUGGCAGAUGCGCUGCUGUCCAGUGCCGCUCUGCUAAAGGCGUGCAUAGAUAGUCUUCACCGACUGCCGCCGCCACCACCACUGCCAGUUGGAAACGUGGCGGGUCUCGCCGGCGGACUCUCCACUGACAGUUCUGAAGCCAUCUAUGCAGUCUAUUUCCAUCACUGCGAGGACGUGGUCUCUUUGCUCUUGACGCUGCUGAACGCCGAGCCCAGGCGGCACAAUGAAGCGUCCCUGGUACUGUGCAGCUUCGACGCUCCUCGCGCUGUGUGCGCACUGGCGCAGCGCCUUGUGCGCGCCAAUCUCUUCACCUCCAGCGCGGUCUGCGAAGGAUCCAGCGCAGUCACUGAGGAAGAGGCUUCAAUGCUGCUGUGGAGCGCGCUCAAGGUGCUCGGCCGGCUCACACGCGGCUGCCCGGCUGCGGUGAGACUGUUCCUUAGCGAGAAUGCCAGCGUACCGGCCUUCCUUGUGCAGGUGCUGACCGUGCCGGUGGCCGAAAUACGAGAGGCAGGCGCGCUAUGGGUGGCAGCACUCUUAGAAACUCAACCACAGGCCUCUGCCGAGCUUGUCAGCGGUCUCCUUGACGACGCCUCGCUCCUCACGACGACGUCGUCGCCGGCUUCACCGGCAAAGGCGACGACGCUUUCUUCCUCUGCUCCCGUGCCCAUGUUCGUGGCAUCGUUGAUGGAGAUGCUGCGCUGGCGUGGGGCGCAGAUGCACGUCUUCAGCGUCUCUGCCAUCUUGUGCUGGCGGUGGCUGCUCUUGUCCGACCCAUCACGCGUCGCAGCGCUGCUGGUGCGCGACAGCAGCCUGCUGGCUACUCUAAUCGAGCUCAUAUUGCGCGGGGCGGCUUCCACCUCGUCGUCGUCCUCCGCUGCGCUACCUACACGGCUGGCCGCUUUAGAGGCACUGCACGUGUUCGCACUCUCCUACGCGUUGGGCAGCAUCGACACUCGUGUGCGUCUGGAAGCCCUGGUGGUGCGAGGCCAGCUCUCGCAUGCGACGCUGCGUCAGCUGCGGACGCAUGCGCACAUCAUCCUCGAGCGGACGCACCCGGCAUACUGGAACGCGUUCCCGGCCAUGGAGAUGGAGUUGCUGGAGGAGGAGGCAGAGCUCAGCGAGGAAAUGCGGCUGGCCGGCGCGACGGUGCGCACGUGCGGGACGGACGAGACGGCUCGGGGGGCCUGCUCAUCAGGCCCUUCCACAUCGAGUCUCAUGCGCCGUCGCGGUGGUUGUGGAAGACUCGCGGUUUGCAUCUCGACCGGUGCAGCGUGGCGGCAGCUCGUGCUGGAGAGUGUGUGGGAGUUGACAGCGGCUGUGGCGGCCGAUGCCUCUUCCACUGCCGUCCUGACAUUUUCUUCGGCGCGUAGCUCAGUAACGCGAGGUCGUGCGGCAUCCCCACAGCAGCAGCAGCCGGCAUUCUCGCACACCUCAGCCUUUCACCCACAUGCGGGGGUUUUCGCCGGGGGAGCGUUUGGGGCCUCGCCCAUACGCGUGCUUACGUCAGCAUCGUCUUUGCGUGCCACCGCAGCCCCAGCCCACUCGGCGGGGAGCGGGGUAGCGGAGGAUAUGGACGGAGACGGAAGUGCCGCAUCUGUGCUCGAUGCGUCAGCGCCUCCCAUCCUUACCCGAGCGCCCCGCACCAUUCGAGAGGCUACACUGCUUCCGACGCGGCAAAGCACGACGGCUUUUCGCUUCCGUGUGGUGCAGCAAGCAGAGAACCUCGAUGGCAUUUUUGUGCAAGACAGCAUGCGGGUAGUGUUGCGCCUCGCCCAGCACUACACCCAGACAUCCACCCAAAGCAGGGCGUCUGCUCAGAUCAGUCCGAAUGUGAUUCGUGCGGCAAAGGAGCGGCGGCGCUGUGGCGAUCUACUACUCCAUAGCUCGCCAGGAGAAACUCCCCGGUCGCGCUCGCGCUCGACAUCGCCGCCGCUGCCGCUGGGGCCGGGCGCCUCUGCGGCCAUGGCAUCGCCGAGUGUUGUCUUCGGAACGGCGCCGCGCUUUGUAGAUACCAGUGCGCGGAUAGAAAAGGAGCGCAACCCAUUCGUCCCUCUUACGAAGCUGGCGGAUAGGCGGCAGGCGCAGCUGAAGCGUCGUCGGUGGGGGGUCAAGGAGCUGCAGCGGGAGGAUGUACUCCUGUUUCUAGUCCGCUACACUCAUCUCAUGACGGAGCUGCCGGACGCCAUUGCGGCUGUCGAGGAUCAUCUGUACUACUUGCGUCGGCAACUGCAGCUGUGCCCAACGCGUGUGGUACGGCGGCGGAGCGUACUGAACGACCUGUACAUGAACGUGUACCCCAAACUGCACUUGUUUCUGCGCUACGUCGAUCAGCAGGCACGGCGGUCGCGCAGCGUGCUGCAGCUGCUCUCCACUUUCAGUGGUGGCACCAUACACUCCGGGAACGUCUUGGAUGUGUAUGACGCAGUGGGGCGGUGCACUGGACUCUCAGCCGUGGAGUAGCAGGCAGACAUGGCGCUGAAGGGGCGAUGGUGCAGGGGAGAGUGAGGGAAGGUGGGGGAGGGGAAGAGAAAAACAAGAAAACAGAGGACGCAGAGGAGGCCAGAUGCGCGCCGUGCAGUUGACGGCGCGACACACAUCCUGACUCUUCGCCUGCACUUCUUUUGGUUCCGGAUAUGUUUUUCUCUUCCCCUUCCCUUCUCCCUUUGUGCCGACUGGUGUCUAUCGUGUGUCCUUCAUUGCCCACCGUCGUUCCGCGCGCGGCUGCCAAUCGUGUCUUUCGUUGUCGAUGUCUGCAGUGUAGAUUGCCAGCCAUUAGUAGCUAGCUGCUUCGUUUUUUUUUCUUUUAGUCUACGGCAGUGCGUGUUCCUCGCGCAGUCGCCAAGUCGCAAGGGAAGGAGAUCCUGUGCCUCUUGCCAGCGGCACGAAUGCUUCAUGCGACGCCGCCUACGCACAGGCAAGCGAAGGCGUACGCAAGCGUCUGUGCUUUCGUGGAAGUGCAAGUUGUGAUUUGAUCAGCUUUCCGUUCUCUCUUGGCCGCAACGGAGAGAGAGGAAAGACAAGCACAAGGCGACAUGCGUGCCCACUAGGGUGGUGAUGGUGGUGGCGACAGCAGAAGAACACGAGCCAAGACACGGAGGCGGUUUCGAUAGUCGACGGCAAGUGGUGAUCGAGAAAGAGGGAGGGGGAGGGGGCAGUGUGGCUGGCCCGCUUGUGGCUGGCGCAUGAGUGUAGAUGUCCCGCAGAGGGAGAAAAGGAUACGGCACCCUCUCCUCUAGCCUGGCCAUUGGCAUUGCCCUUUUC
This 4871-nucleotide unclassified non-coding RNA is filed under the name Leishmania donovani. Its description in RNAcentral is "gene:LdHU3.23.1040(CDS-product:hypothetical_prote in_conserved)". Lineage: Eukaryota; Euglenozoa; Kinetoplastea; Trypanosomatida; Trypanosomatidae. The record is from RNAcentral.